GACGAACGCUGGCGGCGUGCUUAACACAUGCAAGUCGAACGGAAAGGCCCUGCUUUUGUUGGUUUCUCGAUUGGCGAACGGGUGAGUAACACAUGAGUAACCUGCCCUUGACUUUGGGAUAACUUCAGGAAACUGGGGCUCAUACCGGGUAGGAGCUCCUGCUGCAUGGUGGGGGUUGGAAAGUUUCGGCGGUUGGGGAUGGACUCGCGGCUUAUCAGCUUGUUGGUGGGGUAGUUGCUUACCAAGGCUUUGACGGGUAGCCGGCCUGGGAGGGUGACCGGCGACCAUGGGACUGAGAUACGGACCAGUAUCCUACGGGAGGCAGCAGUGGGGAAUAUUGCACAAUGGGCGGAAGCCUGAUGCAGCAACGCCGCGUGCGGGAUGACGGCCUUCGGGUUGUAAACCGCUUUCGCAGGUGACGAAGCGUGAGUGACGGUAAUGGGUAAAGAAGCAACGGCUAACUACGUG
RNAcentral lists this ribosomal RNA (468 nucleotides) under uncultured bacterium. RNAcentral's name for it is "partial 16S ribosomal RNA". It matches the Rfam family "Bacterial small subunit ribosomal RNA", at positions 28 to 507 of the family's 1533-position model. The record is from RNAcentral.